Molecule: transfer RNA, 65 nt
Filed under: Merostenus sp.
Lineage: Eukaryota; Metazoa; Arthropoda; Insecta; Hymenoptera; Eupelmidae
Description: tRNA-Arg
Source: RNAcentral
UAAAAUAUAGUCUAAUUUAUGAUGUUCAUUUUCGACAUGAAAGAUAUUUAUUUAAAUUAUUUUAU